RNAcentral lists this long non-coding RNA (384 nucleotides) under Panax ginseng (ginseng). Its description in RNAcentral is "long non-coding RNA (PGIN_LNC014935)". The record is from RNAcentral. Lineage: Eukaryota; Viridiplantae; Streptophyta; Magnoliopsida; Apiales; Araliaceae.
AACCGUUGGUAUAUGUCUCAAUAGAGAGCCUAUUCUGAGGGUCAUAUUCUAACCGUCGAUAUAGAGCAUUUUUUGGGCCUUUUUAGCGAGGGUCAUGAGAUGGUUGCACAAAACCCUCCCAUUCCCCCCACCCCAAUUCAUUUCAGUUCUGUAUCGUGUUCUAGCUCAAUCCUCUGACUCCCCAUCUCAAAACCUAAAUCCUCUAAUCUCUCUGAUCAGCUACUCUAAAUUGCCAAAACCUAAAUCUUCUUAGCCGAAUCACACCCUAAGUACGACCACACUCAAUCGAAGGUCAAUCGAACCAAAGGCUUCUCUCAAUCGAAGGUUCCUCCAAUCAAAGCACAAACAGAAAGAUGGCGAUAGAGAUCGAGAAACAAAACGAAU